This 372-nucleotide ribosomal RNA is filed under the name Triticum aestivum (bread wheat). RNAcentral's name for it is "partial small subunit ribosomal RNA". The record is from RNAcentral. Lineage: Eukaryota; Viridiplantae; Streptophyta; Magnoliopsida; Poales; Poaceae.
AUGAACUACACCCUUGUACUUUCUUAUGAUAAGAAGGAUGAGAACACUUGUUGGGUAUUUCACCAAACGAAUGAUAGGUUUUGCAUUUCCGCUAACCUCAUUUGUUUUUUUGAGCGUUUGUCAUGUUCUUUCGUUUUGAAGGAUUCACAAGGCAUUAACGUCAUGAGACAUAUUGGUUAUGUGAAGGCAUACAUGAUGUGCAACUCCAACAUCUUCGGGAACAUUGAUGAGGUGAACUCCUUUCCUUUGAGCCAUCCUCACAUAUGCAUAUUGGAUGGGUCAUUCUUUCAUUGUUGUCUCCUUCUUCCUGUCUACAUGUUACAUCUAUUGGAUGGAGGAGCAACAUUAGAGAUGGGCCCUUUGGACCUUUAA